GUGGAAGGUGAAGCAGGUCUACCUAUCUCAAAAGUGAUGCACAUAUCUGCUUGGUCCUCCAAUUCUUCAUUAGUCUCCUCAGAUGCAAGAGUGGGGACAUAGGAGGGUGGGAAAGUAGGUGGCACAAUACUAAGCUCAUGACUCUGCUCCCCAUCUCCUAUGUGGAUGGCACCAACAUCAUCUGGAAGCUGAACAACCUGAAAUUGUGAUUCCUCUAAAACAUAAGACUGUUCCUCAAUGAGCUGAGUGGCCGUCUCCCCCAUCUGGUUGCUCAAACUCUGAAUUGACACUCUGGUCUCCUGUUGAAACUCCAUGUUCAGUUGUUGGAACUGAAUGUUCUGAAUAGUCAUCUACUCCAAUAACUCCUUGAAUGUAAGCUCAGAAGCAGAAGGUUGAGGAGCUAUUUGGGUAGGAGCAUCAUACCGCUGACUCUGGUAUUGUUGAACUAGUGGAGGCAUAGAAGUAUUCUGAGAUGGUUGAUAUUGCUGUGGAGUGUCACACCAUCCCAAGCUAGGGUCAUUCCAAUCAGGAUCGUUGUUGUAACCAUACUGAGUAGGGAAGAAUUCGUCCAAGAACAUGUGCUUAAGAUCUUCCCAAGAAGUGAUGGAUCCCGG
Molecule: long non-coding RNA, 614 nt
Filed under: Vigna radiata
Lineage: Eukaryota; Viridiplantae; Streptophyta; Magnoliopsida; Fabales; Fabaceae
Description: long non-coding RNA (VRAD_LNC008494)
Source: RNAcentral